AUACGUAGGGUGCAAGCGUUAAUCGGAAUUACUGGGCGUAAAGCGUGCGCAGGCGGUUUUGUAAGACAGUGGUGAAAUCCCCGGGCUCAACCGGGGACCUGCCUUUGUGACUGGAAGGCUGGAGUGCGGCAGAGGGGGGUGGAAUUCCGCGUGGAGCGGUGAAAUGCGUAGAUAUGCGGAGGAACACCGAUGGCGAAGGCAAUCCCCUGGGCCUGCACUGACGCUCAUGCACGAAAGCGUGGGGAGCAAACAGGAUUAGAUACCCUGGUAGUCCACGCCCUAAACGAUGUCAACUGGUUGUUGGGGAUUUAUUUUCUCAGUAACGAAGCUAACGCGUGAAGUUGACCGCCUGGGGAGUACGGCCGCAAGGUUAAAACUCAAAUGAAUUGACGGGG
This 395-nucleotide ribosomal RNA is filed under the name uncultured bacterium. RNAcentral's name for it is "partial 16S ribosomal RNA". It matches the Rfam family "Bacterial small subunit ribosomal RNA", at positions 523 to 918 of the family's 1533-position model. The record is from RNAcentral.